Zingiber officinale is the source of this 4300-nucleotide long non-coding RNA. RefSeq lists it as uncharacterized. The record is from RefSeq and is a predicted model, not a curated record. The transcript has 4 exons. NCBI's taxonomy places the organism in Eukaryota, Viridiplantae, Streptophyta, Magnoliopsida, Zingiberales, Zingiberaceae.
CUGUUUUAAACCGAACGAUAGAGUGAUUGUGUCAUUGAACUCGCUCGUAAAAAUCAGUUCUUGCAGGUUCUCGAGAAGAAAAUCCAGAAGUCGAUCUUCGAAACCGUCUUGAAAAUUGAAGAAGGGGUCCAUCCAACGCAUCUGCAUCAAUGCGAGCUUCACGUGUAAGGUUGCAGCGUUGGCUCCCCUGGUAGAAUCGGUGCCUGAGCGCGCCGGCUGUUGGCCGGCGGAGGCUAUUCGAGUUACGGCCAGGACAAGAACCCAAAAGUGGGGGGAUUCAGUUCAAGAUUGAGAAGAAAACGCUCACUCAGAAACCACUACGUGCAGCAAGCUGAAUUCAUUGAGAAGCGCUCCAAGAGUUGUGGAAUGAAUUCAUGCAUAUUAAGUUGGAUGGUAAUCCUGUCCAAGAGUCGAGGUGACGGACGCUGGAGAUGUGGCGCUCCUGUUGACCAUGCGUGGACCUCCGAUGAGACUAGCCUGUAAGCACAAAAGCGUCAGUGCCGAGUCAGGGAGUGGUUCUCCGACGAUGACCCUCCGAUCAGAUCUCCGGUGAAAGCAGCAAGCAAGGAAAGAAACGAAAGUGGCAGCGUAACUGUAACUACAAUAGAAUGAGCAUACCAUUGUCGAACCUUGGGGUCCUUUAUAUAGGGCUCCCAGGGGUGCGCGUGCACGCUCCUCGAGACGUGCACGCAUCUCAAAGCUUUUCCUGAUAGGGCGUGUCAGAAAAGUGUACUUGAUACCAUACCUCAACAGCCCGAGCAUAUCCUGACAAGACAAUGGAAGCUUCCGUCGUACGAUUCUCUGCCUAAUCAUGCCGCCGACCAUGUUGUCUGUCUGCGGCACGGGUCUCGAGGAGGAUAUCAGUCGAUCCUGCCUUUGUCUGCUAGUGGGUCGAGUGGGUGGGCAGCUCGGCUAAUUCUACUAUCUAGGCCGAGCGGGGAGAGCGCUCGGCUACUUCCGCUGUUUGGGCCAAGCGGGUCGGCCGCUCGGCUAUUUCACUGUUUAGGCUUGUUGGGUCGUGUUUCUGUUUCGUUGGCUGUGAUAUGAUCUUUGGUCGAUCGGGAUACCCGUCUGGCACAUGUCCCACCUGUUAGCGCCUGCCUUAGUGAUACUGGGCCUUUGAGCGUCGGAAGCUUGGUGCGAGACCGAGCUGUAGUAACGUCGGACCAGCCAUUCCUUAGUCCGAUCGGCUGAUGGGACCGCCUGAUCGGACGCUAGCCUGGGGUCGUUGACUUCCUUGACUUUGACCCUCCAUGUGGCAUUGACCCCAUGCAGGGUGGGGCCCCACCUUACCACCGGAUCACUUGUCUGCCCCUUAAGUCUAGUCAAAGGAGACUGCAAGUCCGACUAACUGGACAAGUAGUCUGGAGAUCGGUUGGCCGAUCGGCCAUGAGGCUAGUUGGACCCCGGCCGGUCCGUACAGGACUAAUCUUCUGGGCUGCUCGGCGAUCUGAUUUUUUGCACUAAGGUUUCUCCUUCGGCGUCUUUGGAUGGGCACGAGCCGAGCGGUCAAAUGCUGACGUCACCCGAAUCUCCUUGAAAUUCGCACAAAUCCCCUCCAUUAAGGCCGAGCAUGAAAUCCAGUGCUCCGACGAUCCUGUGCUCCUUGACGGCGGUCCACUUCUCUCUGCGGCUCCCUUUCUUUUUCCUGUAAGCUUCUCCAAACCUUUCUAUUGGUGAUCUUCCACUGUUCUUCCGCCACGCCACUGUUCCGGCGUAUGUUCUGCGUUUUUCCUUUCGUCCGUUGCGCUUUUUGUUUUCCUGGACGAGUUUCUCUUGCAAUGGCCAGUUCAUCGUUGUCGUCGGACAUUGCUCCCGGACUCUGGUACACCACUAUAGAGACUAGGUUCGACGCAGGCGACGCUGCGAGCCUCAUAAAUGUUUUUGACCUUCCCUCUGAGUAAGAGAUAGUCCUGGCCUCCCCGUCUGAUCGGCCUCAUGACCCGUCGACCGACACUGUUUGUUUUUUCCGAGACCAAUUCACGGCCGGUCUUCGAUUCCCCAUCCAUCCUUUCAUAACUGAGGUCUGUAACUACUUCCGCGUCCCUUUAGCACAGCUCGUCCCCAAUUCCUUUCGCCUCUUGUGCGUCGUGGUUGUUUUGUUCAAAGUGCACAGUAUUCCCCUAACACCUCAGCUAUUCCAUUACUUUUAUUAUCCCAAACAAUCCGAGCUGGGCACCUACCUCUUCCAGCCUCGGGUCGGUUUUGUCUUUUUCAACAAAAUGACAUCUUCCAAUAAACAUUGGAAAAAUUACUUUUUCUAUAUGCGACUCCCCGAGCGGCCGUGCUUCCGCACCAAGUGGCAAGUCGGACAUCCGCCUCAACCGGACCUGAAAAGGUAUCGGGGCCCGCCAGACUACCUUCACACGGCUAACUUGCUGGUCGACCAAAAGUUCGACAUUCACAAGCUGCUGCCAGAGGGGGUGAUGUAUAUGUUCGGGUUGAGCCCCAUCCAAACGAAGCUCCUGAGCAGCCUAGGUACGAAAUUUCUCGAACUUCUUCUCUUAAGUCUAACUGAUUCUUUCUUUCUUUUGCAGUUGACAUAAUGAUGCGCGCUCGGGCAGCCGGUUUGAUGAAGUUGAAGAACGUCGAGAUAGAGGCGGCAGCGGCAAAGGAGAUGGCGAGCCUCGACCUAACUCCGGUCGGCUCUCAUGAGGACGAGAGCGAGGCAACGCCAACUGAAGGAAGAGGCGUCGCCGAUCGGACGCCCCACACUGAACUGACGGCGAACCCAGUCCCUUUUGAGACGCAGCCUGCCGCCCCGGCCGAAGGCUCGGGGUCCUCUGGCGAUGAAGUCCCCCCUCCGGGCGCAAGAGACGUCGCAUGACCACCCCGUCCCGUUCUGCUGCCUCGGCGGUGCGUUCUUCUGAGCGAGGAGUCACUUCCUCAAUGGUAGCUUCCGAGACAGUGGAAGCCAUUUCUUCCGAUUGAACCCCUUCGCUGGCCGAUCUGCCGUCGGACCCGAUUGCUGCCCAGCCGAUCGCGUCUCUCCCUCCAGCUCGACGAAGGAUCCUGCGAUCCAGCAUUCUUCUGGCCCCGACCUCCCAAGCUUCCGGCCAUGCGACUUCUUCCCAGUCAACACCAAUUGGUCGGCGCUCCGUAACAGCAAUCCUCUGCCUGCCGACCGAAGAUCUCCUUGAUCCGAGCGAGCAGUCGUCCUCUCCUGAACAUCAAAUCUUCUUCUGCGGGCGGCUCACUCAUAUUUGGGAGGAGGCCCAAGCGCGAGCGGCGAUGAUGCCUCCGGGGGCGCUCGUCAACAGUCAUUUGGAGAUGUCCACCGGAGUAUGUAUUUAAACUUUAGAAAUUAAUUUACCAAUUACCUCCGAUUGGCGCUUACACCCAUCUGGUCGCUUGAAGUACUGGGUGGAGAACGUGGCGAUGUGCAACUGCCUGACAUUUGUGGAGGAUGAGCUGAAGAAGCUCAAGAUUUCUGGGGGAGUCUCUUCCUCCCAGGGCCAUCCAUUGCCCCAUUGCAAGCUGAUCUGGAGAAGGCCAAUAAACUCCUGGAGGCCGAGCGGAAGAAGUCUGUCGAUCAGGCCAUCAUGCUUGGUCGGCUCGAGACUCAGGUGAAAACCUACGAUAAGAAGAUCGAGUAGGCUGUCAACAGGAAGAACCGAGCCAUAGCUGACCUGGAGUUGAAGAACCAGGAGGCUCGAAAGUUAGCCGAGAAGCUCAAGGAGGCGGAGAACUUGCUGAUCGUCGAACGGGACAAUCGUUCCUCUAGGGAGGCCGAUCUUCAAGGGCAAGUGAGGACCCUUGAAGGUGCUCUGGAGUCCUCCCGCGCUGCCUUGAAGACCUACCAGGACGUCAACCGAACCGCUUCGAUACCAUGAAGCAAGAAUACCUCCGCUCAGAGAAAUUUACUGACAAAGUUGUUAAUCGAGUCGUCCAGAGUUUCGAGCUUGCCAUAACUAGAACGUUCAACCAGUUGCAAGCGAACGGGCAUAUCUCCGGCUCUUUGAUUGAUGGCAUCAUCGACCGGGUUUAGCUGAACGACUCGAUGCCGGACGAAGUCUUCGACUAUCUCGAGUGAGGAGGGAUCUUGUAACCUUUGAAUGUUUGACUGUCGCUCGGCAGCUUUUGGUUUGUUAUCAAUGAAGUCAUUUUAUAGUUCUUCCUCAUAUGUUUGCUUGUCUAUCACAAAGCUUUUGACUAUUUAGCACCGAACGGGCGUCAUGCUCGCAUUUCAAUCAUUGAUAAAUCCAUCAAGGUCAUACCUUUGGGUUUUAAGGUCGUCGCUUGACCCUAGGGUUUAUAGUCGCCGCUCGACUCUAGGGUUUAAUGUCGUCGCUCGACAAUU